CUCUCUUCUCUAGGGUUCGCGAACCCCUUUCGAUCCUUGCGGCCAGGGCUAGGGUUUCUGCCCCUUUCCCUUCAGUUGAGGCGAGCCUUUGGCUUUCCUCUUGCACAGCAAGCUGGAAUAUACGGCCAAUCGAAGGCGCAGGCUCCAUGGCAAGUAUCUGUGACCUGAAAUGGAGGUAAGAUUCGUUAAGAAUGAGUAGAAAGCGAGUCGCCUUCUCUCUGUCUUUUAUCGCCUUGUGUUGUUGGAUAGUGGUUUCGGGCCCAUCGAGUUUCUCUUCCGCUGCCUCCAGCUCAUUCCAGAGGGCUGAAAGUUUGUUGAAGCACGUCGUCACAGACGUGUUUCCUUGCUUCAGUUCGGAAAGUGCUUGAUGUAGUGAGAAAAUCCUCGCCCGAUCCAGUUUUCCAUACAUCUCGCGUAUAUUGUCCCAAAAAACUUUUGAAUCCUCUGUGGGAGGCAAUCCGACAGCUAUUUCUGGGUUUAUACAAUUUCCUAUCCAUGUCCUGACUAACUGAUUACACUUUUUCCAUUGUCGCCCUAAUUUCUCAUCAAUUGGGACCGGAAUGGUGCCGUCGAUGAAUCCCUCCUUAUCUUUUGUUAUGAGGGCUCGACGGAAGUCACGCGCCCAAUUUGAGUAAUUCUCCGGCCCUGUGAGGGGGUUGUUGAUGAGCUUCAACUCUGGGCCGUCGGCGUUGGAGACAUACAGCGCGUCGCCGGGUUCUGGGCGACCCAUGGCGGCCGCAAAGGGAAAAGGUAUAAACCCUGUUGGAAAUCCCGCAUUGGUUGUAGUCUGGCUCGGAUUGGUUGUAGUCUGUCCCUGAUUCGAAUUCCCUGGUCCGCCCGUCUGCUCAAGGCCGAUGGUUGAGCCUGCCCCAGCAUUGGUUGGUAGGCCUACAUCGGUCUGCACGCUUUGGUAACCCGGCUGUGAUGCAUCUGGAUUUGAUCCAUGAAUCCAUGGGUACGGCAUCCACUGAUAAGGAUAGCCAGAGAAAGGUAACCCUGGAUUGAACUGAGCCGGAUUGGGUUGCCAAAGCGUGUGUUGUGCGUGAAUUUGGCUUUGACUGGGUUGUUGAUCAGCUGGCGGAUUGAUAAUGGACUGAGCCGGAGAUGGCGAAUCAUGAGGCGUCACAUUACCUUCGGUAGGUGAAGUAUGUGGAUCUGUCAUGAUGAAGAGAAACUCUGCAGUAACUCUGUUUUGCAGGUUGGUUUGCAGUAACUCUGCAGUAACUCAAGAAUUCUUGCCGGAUGCUGUUUUGGUUUGCAAGUGGAGCAAAGACCAAGAGCAGAAGAUCACGGAAGGCAAUUCAAAAAACGCGGAAGCUAUGUCAGAACCAGAAAGGCUCUGAUACCAUGAAAGAAGUCGAGAGAGAGGAAUUUGAGAGAAAGAAUUGUGGGAAUUUUCCUCUGUAUUCACUGCUUUGAUUCAAUGUACAUUGUCCUAUUGUUAUAGUACAAAAGAGUGUACAAAACAGGAAAACACGAUGAUGGACGCGAGCAUCCAGCACACCGCGAAGAUCACUCCGGCCUUAAGCAGCAGAAGACCCGACCCAUCGUCACCACCGCGAACGCCGGCGCUCUCGAAAUCGACGCAAUAUCUCGCGAUGAAUUUCCUCAUCAUCUCAUGGAGAGAAGCAAGAAUUCAACUCUACUCCUAAGGCGAGGAACAUUCAAUUUAAGCACUGGCCAUAACGGUGAUAGACCACAAAAGUCGAGGGGACAACUUCGGAGAUAAUUCGCUUCGGAUGACUUGCUGGGAGUCGUGACGAAGGUUCUACGAAAUUGCUUCUGAUCGAACUUCGACAUUCUUAAAUUGGGGAAGUGGUGAUGUCGACCUCGUGAUCGUAAUCUCAGAAAGAGUCGUGCACAUGCCCCUGGUUGGUCCAAAACGGUAAACAAGGGAAGUUGCGGGUCAAUCAAGACACUCCAUGUUCGACGUGGGACGUUUUGUAUUUUGGCUGAUUUACCGGUCAAUUAUGUUUUUGGUCGAAAGGUACGGCUUUCUUAAUCUUAAGUCAGCUGGUCUAUGACUUAAGAGAGACGUUGUAUCUUGGGAACUUUCUGGGCAAUAUAGUAGCUACCAAGAAAUUGUUACUCCUGUCAGAGAUUUAUGGCACACCUUGUAAUUGCUUCAACGUUGUUCGAAA
Molecule: long non-coding RNA, 2141 nt
Organism: Eucalyptus grandis
Lineage: Eukaryota; Viridiplantae; Streptophyta; Magnoliopsida; Myrtales; Myrtaceae
Exons: 2
Source: RefSeq, a predicted model, not a curated record